AGAGGGUGGAGGGGAGCAGAGUCCGCCCUGCUCCCCCCGUCCUCCCGCCCCCACCAUUGCCGCAGGCUUCCCUUAGGGCAAACGUCCAUCAGAGCAGGACCUUCCGCCUCCCUCUGCCCGCUCCCCACCCCGCCCUAGCAUUGGCAGGGUUUCAGAUACCCUGGGCGGUGGGGGUCGGGGAGCGGGGAGAGGGGGAAGCCUGGCCGCCAGGAAGGGUGGGGCUGCCAGGCAGGCACCGCCCAGCUGCAGUGUGACCCCGCCAGUCCCGGAAACUCUCCAAACCCAGGACCUCAACGGACGUCCGGCAACUCAGAGGGGAGGCAGCAGGGCCUGCCAGGACGGAGGGUGUGUGGGACGCCUCUGAGGUCCCGUUGAGAAAGGAAGAGCUGUGUUUUAUCCUACUCUAGAGUCAGAAGGCUGUGUGAUGUCCUCCCAGUGUUAACAGAAGUAGCUGGGUGGCCUUCAGAAAUGCUUUUCAUCCCCAGAUGCUGGCAUUGGGCUGUGCACAUAUCCUGGAUUUAUUAAUUUUUAAAAAGUUGCCACUUGUUGAAGAGUGUUUAUCAUGUGCUGGGCACUUGCUCAGUUUGUUCCCUACAUGGAUCCUUCACCAGCUCAGGGAGACACAAUGACAUUAUCAUUGUGCCCUUUUCAUAGAUGAGGAAACUGAAGCUCAAGGGCAAGGGUUACUUGCUCAAGGUCACAGAAAUACUAACUACUGGAGUCUGGAUUCAAAACCAGGUAGGUCUGGCUGAUUUCAGACCGCAGCUUCUUAAUUUUCCUAGAAGGCAGGAACCGAAGUUCAUUCACCCUUGCGGAACACCUAGACCUGACAGGUACCCAAUAAAGAAGCAUUGAAUAGAGCUUGACACAUUUUCGGGGGUCUGAUUCUCUCCAUUAUAGUCUGAUGAAAUGACAGACUGGGCAAAAGUACGUAUCUCAGCGACAAGCAUACAGUUGGUCCACAUACAUCUAAAGAUGUCGGGAGUCUGGAAGUGGGGAGGAAAGACACCUGCUUUCUUUGCUGAUGCCGCUGAGGGAGCCCUUCUGUCUGCCUGGAUGGAGGUAGCCUGGAGGCUUCUGGACCUAGAAGCUUGGCUUGCACAGAACUCUGAGAGGCUGGGUCUCGCUGUCUGGCCCAGGAAUCCCCUUUAUAGCUCUCCAGGCCGGACCCCUGGAUCCCUGGGAAUGCUGUCUGACAGCUGUGUGAGUGCAACCGUGGCUCCUGAACCGGGUGCCAGCUGGGCGUGCUCUGGGAGCCACCGCUUGGGAUGUCAGAGGAGAGCUGCUGCAGCCGCCCUUCCGUCAGCAGGAAGCCCAGCCGCAUACACUUGGACAGGAAGCCCCGGUGCUGGCCAGCUGAGCAAGCUCUGGUUUCUCCUGAGUCUGAGGCUUUGGCCCAGCAUGGAGGGAGGCGAGCCAGGUGCUGUGGCUGGGCGGCACUGA
Molecule: long non-coding RNA, 1443 nt
Organism: Bos indicus x Bos taurus (hybrid cattle)
Lineage: Eukaryota; Metazoa; Chordata; Mammalia; Artiodactyla; Bovidae
Source: Ensembl